Carassius gibelio (silver crucian carp) is the source of this 444-nucleotide long non-coding RNA. RefSeq lists it as uncharacterized. NCBI's taxonomy places the organism in Eukaryota, Metazoa, Chordata, Actinopteri, Cypriniformes, Cyprinidae. The transcript is spliced from 3 exons. The record is from RefSeq and is a predicted model, not a curated record.
GUAAAAGAGUAUGAAUCACUGUCUCUACCAUCUGAAUAGUCCCCUGUGUGAGAGUGCUAGCUUGGGCAUAGCUCAUAUUGGAGUUUAGGAUCAGCUGAAGUGAACCAUUAAAAGCACCAAGAAUAUUGUUAACCACAUCCUGAGGUAGAGCUCCGGUUUCAUUAGAAAUACUCUCCAGAACCACUCUGACUGUGCUAAUGACAGCUUCUGUAAAGUUUUCACUUUGGAGACCACCAUCAGUGCUAGCCACAUGAGAUGCAUAAGUUAGUGCCUGAGACACCUGCUCAGCAACAUCCAGGAAGGCUCUGUCCUCAGGGGAGAGUAGAGGAGCCAUGGCUUGCAAAAGUUGUUCAAGAUUCACCCCAGCUCCUGCAAGAUCUACAGAGCUAACAUUCCCCUGGAAGAUUUUGUCAAGUGCAAUUGUCAGAUGUUGGUUAAUGAUCC